CAGUAGCCGCGGGAAUACGUAGGGUGCAAGCGUUAAUCGGAAUUACUGGGCGUAAAGCGUGCGCAGGCGGUUUUGUAAGACAGAGGUGAAAUCCCCGGGCUCAACCUGGGAACUGCCUUUGUGACUGCAAGGCUAGAGUACGGCAGAGGGGGAUGGAAUUCCGCGUGUAGCAGUGAAAUGCGUAGAUAUGCGGAGGAACACCGAUGGCGAAGGCAAUCCCCUGGGCCUGUACUGACGCUCAUGCACGAAAGCGUGGGGAGCAAACAGGAUUAGAUACCCCUGUAGUCCCUGUCUCUUAUAC
RNAcentral lists this ribosomal RNA (301 nucleotides) under uncultured bacterium. Its description in RNAcentral is "partial 16S ribosomal RNA". It matches the Rfam family "Bacterial small subunit ribosomal RNA", at positions 509 to 807 of the family's 1533-position model. The record is from RNAcentral.